Myotis brandtii (Brandt's bat) is the source of this 132-nucleotide long non-coding RNA. RefSeq lists it as uncharacterized. The transcript is spliced from 3 exons. Lineage: Eukaryota; Metazoa; Chordata; Mammalia; Chiroptera; Vespertilionidae. The record is from RefSeq and is a predicted model, not a curated record.
CCUCCAGCAGGUGCCGGGGCUCAGCUGUGUUGGGGUUCUUGUGAAUGGACAACUGGUACUUGUUGGUGGAGUCAAAGGGUAUCUCGAUGAUUCUGGGGUACCGCUCUCUCAUCUCCUUCAAGGACUCACAAC